GAUGAACGCUGGCGGCGUGCCUAAUACAUGCAAGUCGAGCGAACGGACGAGAAGCUGUCUUCUCUGAUUUUAUCGGCGGACGGGUGAGUCACACGUGGAUAACCUACCUAUAAGACUGGGAUAACUUCGGGAAACCGGAGCUAAUACCGGAUAAUAUUUUGAACCGCAUUGUUCAAAAGUUAAAGUCGGUCUUUCUGUCACUUAUAGAUGGAUCCGCGCUGCAUUAGCUAGUUGGUAAGGUAACGGCUUACCAAGGCAACGAUGCAUAGCCGACCUGAGAGGGUGAUCGGCCACACUGGAACUGAGACACGGUCCAGACUCCUACGGGAGGCAGCAGUAGGGAAUCUUCCGCAAUGGGCGAAAGCCUGACGGAGCAACGCCGCGUGAGUGAUGAAGGUCUUCGGAUCGUAAAACUCUGUUAUUAGGGAAGAACAUAUGUGUAAGUAACUGUGCACAUCUUGACGGUACCUAAUCAGAAAGCCACGGCUAACUACGUG
RNAcentral lists this ribosomal RNA (497 nucleotides) under uncultured bacterium. RNAcentral's name for it is "partial 16S ribosomal RNA". It matches the Rfam family "Bacterial small subunit ribosomal RNA", at positions 28 to 507 of the family's 1533-position model. The record is from RNAcentral.